This 85-nucleotide transfer RNA is filed under the name Bacteroidetes bacterium HGW-Bacteroidetes-9. Its description in RNAcentral is "tRNA-Leu". It matches the Rfam family "tRNA". From Rfam's summary of the family: Transfer RNA (tRNA) molecules are approximately 80 nucleotides in length. Their secondary structure includes four short double-helical elements and three loops (D, anti-codon, and T loops). The record is from RNAcentral. Lineage: Bacteria; Pseudomonadati; Bacteroidota.
GCGGAUAUGGCGUAAUUGGUAGCCGCGCCAGACUUAGGAUCUGGUGCCGAGAGGCGUAGGAGUUCGAGUCUCCUUAUCCGCACAA